GACGAACGCUGGCGGCGUGCCUAAUACAUGCAAGUCGAGCGGAGUUAUUCCUUCGGGAAUAGCUUAGCGGCGGACGGGUGAGUAACACGUGGGUAACCUGCCUAUAAGACUGGGAUAACAUCCGGAAACGGAUGCUAAUACCGGAUACGCGAAUCUAUCGCAUGAUGGAUUCGGGAAAGACGGAGCAAUCUGUCACUUAUAGAUGGACCCGCGGCGCAUUAGCUAGUUGGUGAGGUAAUGGCUCACCAAGGCGACGAUGCGUAGCCGACCUGAGAGGGUGAUCGGCCACACUGGGACUGAGACACGGCCCAGACUCCUACGGGAGGCAG
Molecule: ribosomal RNA, 329 nt
Filed under: uncultured Bacillota bacterium
Lineage: Bacteria; Bacillati; Bacillota
Description: bacterial SSU rRNA
Rfam family: Bacterial small subunit ribosomal RNA
Source: RNAcentral